AUGUCCAUGCAGGGUGCUCUGGCUGCUGUGUGGCUGGGGCUCCUCCUUGGCUCCCUUUGGAAGGUUGCAGGGAGCAAGGAGCAAGUGUCUCAGCGUCCUGCUGCGGCAUCUUCUGAGGGGGCUGUAGUGGAAAUCUCCUGUAAUCACUCUGUGUCCAAUGCUUAUGACUUCUUCUGGUACGGCCACUUUCCUGGAUAUGCGCCACGACUGCUUGUUAAGGGCUCAAGGCCUUCUCAGCAGGGACGAUACAACAUGACUUAUGAACGAUACUCCUCGUCCCUACUCAUCCUCCAGGUGCAGGUGGCAGACACUGCUGUGUAUUACUGUGCUGUGAGGGACACAGAGGCAGGGAAACCAUGA
Non-coding RNA from Choloepus didactylus (southern two-toed sloth), 360 nucleotides. NCBI's taxonomy places the organism in Eukaryota, Metazoa, Chordata, Mammalia, Pilosa, Megalonychidae. The record is from the annotation of a RefSeq genome assembly.